AUAAAGGAUAUUUGUGUUUAGCGUAAAACAUGAUGACCUGAAAAAUAUCAACAUUAAAAAACCAACAAAAAAGGGGGAAAAAAAAGCAAAAUAAUAAUUAAACAAAGAAAAUUUAAAAUGAAUACACUUUUUAUUUAAGGGAACAAAUCGGUAUUCAGCAGCAAAUUAUUUCUCGAUGGUUUGUUCAGACCUUAUGUGUAACGACCCCACAAGGAGUAAUUGGUGUUUGUCAUCGUCAUCUGAUGAUAGAACGACUUGUGGCGAUAAAAAGUGGUGCAUCAACAAAGUAUGUGUACACGACAAUGCAGCUCCUUCUAUGCAAGAAUCCUGUCCAUUCGGGGACCAGUCGACUGGUACCGCAGCUCACGGUCUCACUUGUGCUCAGAUAAAACAUCCAGAGCAUCACUGGCGUUGCUAUGACGACCAUAUAAGAAAAAAAUGUUGUGAAACCUGUCAAUCCAUCUUACGAAAUCA
Molecule: long non-coding RNA, 474 nt
Organism: Mytilus californianus (California mussel)
Lineage: Eukaryota; Metazoa; Mollusca; Bivalvia; Mytilida; Mytilidae
Exons: 3
Source: RefSeq, a predicted model, not a curated record